This 387-nucleotide long non-coding RNA is filed under the name Capra hircus (goat). RNAcentral describes it as "lncRNA (ENSCHIG00000001363.1)". The record is from RNAcentral. Lineage: Eukaryota; Metazoa; Chordata; Mammalia; Artiodactyla; Bovidae.
CACCUCGAUUUUUUUUUUUUUUUUUAAGGAAGAAACAGAAAGCAGCUGAUUCUGCUGUAGCAUGGUUUUCUUUCUUUUUUUUUAGCGAGAAGAGGCUGGAGUGUCUUGUGGAUCACAGAAAUUUCGCUUUGGUUUGGAGAACAGCUUUCCUCAGUGUCUUUGUGUUCCAGAAAGCAGCCCAGGAUCACAGGUAACCAACCAUAACUGCUACUGGACGAGUCCGGCGAUAACACAACCAGAACUGGAAACUUACUGUUUUCAUACUUCUCCGUGGAAGCCAGCUAACAAGCCAUGCACCUAUGUUCAAAUCAUCAAAUUGAAGGAUGAGCCAUACUAAAUUUGAAGAAAAGUGAAAACUUAAGAUGUUCUUUCUUGUUUUCCUUGGGG